CCGCUCUGGGCCUGGGUCUGCGGGUCGGCGCCGAAGUUCCUGCCCGCCGGCUCUGCCUGCCGCCCCUGCCGUAGAGGGAUCGGUGCUGCCCGGACGGGACGGCUGGCUCGGGGCUGGCUGACUGCCGUCCGCGACGCCGAGCCCCUACCAGGAGGCACCCCGAUGGUAGCAACCCGCCGCGGGCUGAGGCCCUAGAGGCCCUGCGGCCCUGCUGUUGGCGGGCGGAGAGCACUCGGGUGCUGGCGGAGUCUUCUCGGCAGGAGCCGGGCAGCUCCACCGCCUCAGCGGUCCCCGGCCAGGUUCGCCAAGUUCGAGCGGCCUGGCCUGCGGCUUCCGCCUCCUCCGGGAGCGCGCUGUGGCUGAACUCCUCUGCUCCAGCACAGGCCUUGGCACCUGUCAGGUCAUUGCCAGGGCUGCAGAGGCGACCUGACUGACAGCACCAGACAGUAGAGAAGUCUUGUAGACUGACUUGUAGAACAGAAAGUAUGUUACAAGAAAUCGUAAUGAACUUCGAAGCCUUAAAGUUCCAGGAUAUGUGACGUCUGUUCUUGAGGGAAAGGGAGAACUGCGAUUAAUUUUAAACAAAAUUUACAGUCCUCUUUUAGGUAUGUGAGAUUACUGCCUUCUCUUCUUAAAAAGCAAACAAACAAACCAGCAUGGAUGUAUGAUGCAUCCAGUGAUCAAAAUGAAACUAAGGAAAAAAUGACAAGUUGUCUAAUUAGAACCAGCCACGACACAUAUAUCCUCAAGCAACAUCUGUUCCCAGUUUCAUGGAGUAAAGUGGAAGUAUUAAAAACAAGCCAGAGACAUCUGGAUAAUCAUCUCGAAACAGGUUGGCUGUUAGGGAAAGUUGAAACCAGCAAGAAUUUGGCAGUGUUUCUUUAAAUUGUUAAGAAAAAAAAUAUCCAAGCUGUUUUCUGGCAUAACUAAAGCGGAAUAUUGUGAAUCAGGCAAGAACAACAAAAGAAAUGAACUCUUUAAAAAACAGCUAUUUUUAACAUUAUAGUAUUUAGGAUUCUAUGCAUACUGUACACUCGAUUAUUCUGGGAACUGCGAUAGGACAUUGCACUGUUAAAGUGAUAACUGGCACUAAUCCAACUUACAAACAUUACCUUCUAGAAUGUAAUGGCAUCUUGCUUGGGGAAAGCAUGGUAAUGAGAAAGAAUAAAAUUACAUGCA
Non-coding RNA from Myodes glareolus (Bank vole), 1179 nucleotides. Lineage: Eukaryota; Metazoa; Chordata; Mammalia; Rodentia; Cricetidae. The record is from RefSeq and is a predicted model, not a curated record.